GCUUUCAUAGUGUAACGGUAGCACACUCGGCGCGUAUUCAAGAGGCCUAGGUUCGAGUCCUGGCGAGGGCA
Stegodyphus mimosarum is the source of this 71-nucleotide non-coding RNA. The record is from Rfam. NCBI's taxonomy places the organism in Eukaryota, Metazoa, Arthropoda, Arachnida, Araneae, Eresidae.